This 346-nucleotide long non-coding RNA is filed under the name Phoenix dactylifera (date palm). Its description in RNAcentral is "long non-coding RNA (PDAC_LNC010960)". The record is from RNAcentral. Lineage: Eukaryota; Viridiplantae; Streptophyta; Magnoliopsida; Arecales; Arecaceae.
AAAAUUUCAAUUGAAUUUCAGAAUUUGGCACAUAGAAUUUCAGAAUUCGGCACAUACCUUUCACACCUCGAUACAUAAUCUGAAACUCAUGCUUUAUCUAAAAUUUUUGAAGUUUCAUCUUUAAUGAAAUAUAAAAGAAAGGGGGAGCAAUUCAAAAAGUCAAAUCGGAAACAUUUGGAUGAAAUAGGGGGAGACUUCACUCUCAAAUUUGAAAAGCUAAAAUUCAGCAACUUGAGCCUUUUUAAAACUGAUUUUAAGAUAAGUAUCAAUAGGCUCAUACUCUAUAUUUUGUAAUCAUCAAAAAGGGGGAGAUUGAGGAUGAUAGUGGUAUUUUGAUGAUUAAUAC